This 565-nucleotide ribosomal RNA is filed under the name Salmonella enterica subsp. enterica serovar Oranienburg. RNAcentral's name for it is "partial 23S ribosomal RNA". It matches the Rfam family "Bacterial large subunit ribosomal RNA", at positions 683 to 1221 of the family's 2925-position model. Lineage: Bacteria; Pseudomonadati; Pseudomonadota; Gammaproteobacteria; Enterobacterales; Enterobacteriaceae. The record is from RNAcentral.
CUUAAUUGGGCGUUAAGUUGCAGGGUAUAGACCCGAAACCCGGUGAUCUAGCCAUGGGCAGGUUGAAGGUUGGGUAACACUAACUGGAGGACCGAACCGACUAAUGUUGAAAAAUUAGCGGAUGACCUGUGGCUGGGGGUGAAAGGCCAAUCAAACCGGGAGAUAGCUGGUUCUCCCCGAAAGCUAUUUAGGUAGCGCCUCGUGAAUUCAUCUCCGGGGGUAGAGCACUGUUUCGGCUAGGGGGCCAUCCCGGCUUACCAACCCGAUGCAAACUGCGAAUACCGGAGAAUGUUAUCACGGGAGACACACGGCGGGUGCUAACGUCCGUCGUGAAGAGGGAAACAACCCAGACCGCCAGCUAAGGUCCCAAAGUCAUGGUUAAGUGGGAAACGAUGUGGGAAGGCCCAGACAGCCAGGAUGUUGGCUUAGAAGCAGCCAUCAUUUAAAGAAAGCGUAAUAGCUCACUGGUCGAGUCGGCCUGCGCGGAAGAUGUAACGGGGCUAAACCAUGCACCGAAGCUGCGGCAGCGAACGUAUCACUUAAAGCGAUUCAGCGGAUGACGAUU